AUAGCAUAUCAAUAAGCGGAGGAAAAGAAACCAACCGGGAUUGCCCUAGUAACGGCGAGUGAAGCGGCAAGAGCUCAAAUUUGAAAGCUGGCCCCCUCGGGGUCCGCAUUGUAAUUUGCAGAGGAUGCUUCGGGAGCGGUCCCCAUCUAAGUGCCCUGGAACGGGCCGUCAUAGAGGGUGAGAAUCCCGUAUGGGAUGGGGUGCCCGCGCCCGUGUGAAGCUCCUUCGACGAGUCGAGUUGUUUGGGAAUGCAGCUCUAAUUGGGUGGUAAAUUUCAUCUAAAGCUAAAUAUUGGCCGGAGACCGAUAGCGCACAAGUAGAGUGAUCGAAAGAUGAAAAGCACUUUGAAAAGAGAGUUAAACAGCACGUGAAAUUGUUGAAAGGGAAGCGCUUGCGAUCAGACUCGCCCACGGGGUUCAGCCGGCAUUCGUGCCGGUGUACUUCCCCGCGGGCGGGCCAGCGUCGGUUUGGGCGGUCGGUCAAAGGCCCCUGGAAUGUAACGCCUCUCGGGGCGUCUUAUAGCCAGGGGUGCCAUGCGACCUGCCCGGACCGAGGAACGCGCUUCGGCUCGGACGCUGGCAUAAUGGUCGUAAGCGACCCGUCUUGAAACACGGACCAAGGAGUCUAACAUCUACGCGAGUGUUCGGGUGUCAAACCCGUGCGCGCAGUGAAAGCGAACGGAGGUGGGAACCCUCACGGGUGCACCAUCGACCGAUCCUGAUGUCUUCGGAUGGAUUUGAGUAAGAGCGUAGCUGUUGGGACCCGAAAGAUGGUGAACUAUGCCUGAAUAGGGCGAAGCCAGAGGAAACUCUGGUGGAGGCUCGCAGCGGUUCUGACGUGCAAAUCGAUCGUCAAAUUUGGGUAUAGGGGCGAAAGACUAAUCGAACCAUCUAGUAGCUGGUUCCUGCCGA
RNAcentral lists this ribosomal RNA (911 nucleotides) under Penicillium roseopurpureum. RNAcentral describes it as "LSU rRNA". It matches the Rfam family "Eukaryotic large subunit ribosomal RNA", at positions 35 to 964 of the family's 3401-position model. The record is from RNAcentral. Lineage: Eukaryota; Fungi; Ascomycota; Eurotiomycetes; Eurotiales; Aspergillaceae.